AGCUACAUUGCCAGCUC
This 17-nucleotide microRNA is filed under the name Mus musculus (house mouse). Its description in RNAcentral is "mmu-miR-1928". The record is from miRBase by way of RNAcentral. Lineage: Eukaryota; Metazoa; Chordata; Mammalia; Rodentia; Muridae.